UUGGAGGGCAAGUCUGGUGCCAGCAGCCGCGGUAAUUCCAGCUCCAAUAGCGUAUAUUAAAGUUGUUGUGGUUAAAAAGCUCGUAGUUGAACCUUGGGCCUGGCUGGCCGGUCCGCCUCACCGCGUGCACUGGUCCGGCCGGGCCUUUCCCUCUGUGGAACCCCAUACCCUUCACUGGGCGUGGCGGGGAAACAGGACAUUUACUUUGAAAAAAUUAGAGUGCUCCAGGCAGGCCUAUGCUCGAAUACAUUAGCAUGGAAUAAUAAAAUAGGACGCGCGGUUCUAUUUUGUUGGUUUAUAGGACCGCCGUAAUGAUUAAUAGGGACAGUCGGGGGCAUCAGUAUUCAACUGUCAGAGGUGAAAUUCUUGGAUCAGUUGAAGACUAACUACUGCGAAAGCAUUUGCCAAGGAUGUUUUCAUUAAUCAGGAACGAAAGUUAGGGGAUCGAAGACGAUCAGAUACCGUCGUAGUCUUAACCAUAAACUAUGCCGACUAGGGAUCGGACG
RNAcentral lists this ribosomal RNA (506 nucleotides) under uncultured Hypocreales. RNAcentral describes it as "SSU rRNA". It matches the Rfam family "Eukaryotic small subunit ribosomal RNA", at positions 548 to 1059 of the family's 1831-position model. The record is from RNAcentral. Lineage: Eukaryota; Fungi; Ascomycota; Sordariomycetes; Hypocreales.